UACGUAGGGUGCAAGCGUUAAUCGGAAUUACUGGGCGUAAAGCGUGCGCAGGCGGUUUUGUAAGUCUGAUGUGAAAUCCCCGGGCUCAACCUGGGAAUUGCAUUGGAGACUGCAAGGCUAGAAUCUGGCAGAGGGGGGUAGAAUUCCACGUGUAGCAGUGAAAUGCGUAGAGAUGUGGAGGAACACCGAUGGCAAAGGCAGCCCCCUGGGUCAAGAUUGACGCUCAUGCACGAAAGCGUGGGGAGCAAACAGG
RNAcentral lists this ribosomal RNA (253 nucleotides) under uncultured bacterium. RNAcentral's name for it is "partial 16S ribosomal RNA". It matches the Rfam family "Bacterial small subunit ribosomal RNA", at positions 524 to 776 of the family's 1533-position model. The record is from RNAcentral.